UACGAAGGGGGCGAGCGUUAUUCGGAAUCACUGGGCGUAAAGCGUGCGUAGGCUGUUUUGUAAGUCAGAAGUGAAAGCCCAGGGCUUAACCUUGGAAUUGCUUUUGAAACUACAAGACUCGAAUUCGGGAGAGGAUAGCGGAAUUGUCAGUGUAGCAGUGAAAUGCGUAGAUAUUGACAGGAACACCAGUGGCGCAAGCGGCUAUCUGGACCGAUAUUGACGCUGAGGCACGAAAGCGUGGGGAGCAAACAGG
This 253-nucleotide ribosomal RNA is filed under the name uncultured prokaryote. RNAcentral's name for it is "partial 16S ribosomal RNA". It matches the Rfam family "Bacterial small subunit ribosomal RNA", at positions 524 to 776 of the family's 1533-position model. The record is from RNAcentral.